ACCUGGGUGGCUCAGUCGGUUGAGCGUCCGACUUCGGCUCGGGUCAUGAUCUCGCGGUCCGUGGGUUCGAGCCCUGCAUCGGGCU
RNAcentral lists this transfer RNA (85 nucleotides) under Felis catus (domestic cat). It matches the Rfam family "tRNA". Rfam says of the family: Transfer RNA (tRNA) molecules are approximately 80 nucleotides in length. Their secondary structure includes four short double-helical elements and three loops (D, anti-codon, and T loops). The record is from Rfam by way of RNAcentral. Lineage: Eukaryota; Metazoa; Chordata; Mammalia; Carnivora; Felidae.